Molecule: non-coding RNA, 2091 nt
Organism: Microcebus murinus (gray mouse lemur)
Lineage: Eukaryota; Metazoa; Chordata; Mammalia; Primates; Cheirogaleidae
Source: RefSeq, a predicted model, not a curated record
GCCUCAGCCUACCGCGCAGCUGGGACAGCAGGAGCUCGCCACAGCGCCAGGUUGGACCAGUAUUUCUUAAAGGCUACUUCAAUUUAUACCGCCAGAGGGCAGAGAUUAGCAAAAAAGAAAAAAAGAAAAGGGCGAACAAACCCGACCUGAUGUUCACGUUGUUUUAAUAUUCCAGUACCUUCUGCAUUCUAUUCCAUAAUAAAUGCAUUCGUUCUAGUGUCCACACUAAUAGAAAUUUGUCCAAGCCCACAGAUCAAACUGACGUUCCAGAUAAGGCAGGAUUAACCUGAAGCUUCGCUCUAACCCUCAAUUCCCAGUGUGAAAAGCAGGAAGGGUGGAAUGACAAUUCCAAUUCUAUUUCCUCAGGUCACUUUGCCUCAGUUAUCGGCGUAAAAGGGAAAUUAUUACCUCCCUCUUUGCACUGGUAGAAUUUAUCAAGCCAAUGCACAAGACAGCGCAUGAGUCAUAGCAAGUACUGAGCUCAUUUUGGUUGUAAGUCAUCCACUAAUUAUCUCCUUGUGCCCUUGAACUUUUCUAAGGCAGAGGUGAAGGACUGCAAAGCAGUAACAGCGGAACGCUAGGGCUGUCAGAGCCGCCGCGGGCACCUUCACAGACAGCUUCCCAACCCUCUUGGCAAGCCGGGCCCGGCAAACACGUCCUUUUGGCUGGACUGGAGCCGCAACCUUCCCUUACGCGGCAAACCUGGCCACUUAGAGAAAAGACAGAAAAAGGAGCAAGUUGCUGUGAGAAUAAAACGUUGGGCGCUGCGAUUCCCGCCAGUUUCAGCUUGCUGGUUACAAGGUGAAGAAGGUGGCAAGAAAAGGAAAACCUUAUGCCAAGGAACCAGAAACCCAGGAUUUUCACGAAAUCUAGCUCAUACAGGAAUUAAGCUCAAGAGCUUGGAUGUUUGCUGACUGGCAACAAUUCAGAAAUGGUGGAGAUAGCAUACAUCAAUCUGUGUUGGCAAAGAUGAUGUGAAGCAGAGCCUUUGUGGUCCUAACGGAGACAUGUUUGAGAUAAAAACUUUUUUGGUUUUAGGACUGUUUAUUACAGCAGCACAAUUUGCCUAUUCUGACUCGUAUGAGCAGGUUCAUAACAGCAAAAUGAGGGUCUGAGCUUUAGAAAGACCAGGCAGAUGGUUCCAUGCUUUGUCUCCCAGCUGUACAUUCUUUCUUGUUUCCUGUUUAUUGAUCUCAUCCAUUGGAGAACUCCCUGAAAGCACAUAUUUGUGCCACACUUAGCAUUGUAUUCUAGGAUCUCAAAUGUGUGUUGAGUGCAUGAGUCAAAUAUUUGACAAGAAGACCCGGACUAUAACUAGCCCUGACAAGUUACAAAUUUAGUUUCUUGUGAGGUUUCUUUAUAGGCAUCCAACGUACCACAAAACCCUGGUGUACAAUAAAAUAUGCCCAAAGUAAAUGGCUUAAAACACUUUUCACCCAAUUCUGAAUUCAGCUGGGUAGUCUUGCUCAGUGUAGUAUCUGCUGUGGCUAGAAUAUCCAAGAUAGUUCCUCACUCACACCUUUGGUAAUUAUCUGGCAUGGCUGAAACAGCUGGGGUUUAACCAGGUAUCUUUGUCUCAAACCUGGUUUUCUCCUGCAGUAACCAGACCUCUUUAUGUAGCGGCUCAGGGUUCCAAGAGGACAGGCCCUUAUGUGCAAGCACUUAUCAAGCCUCUGAUAAUGUCCCAUGGGGCCAAAUAACACUUGCCAAGAAUCAGUAUAUAAAGGGGCUACACAAGAGUGCAAAUACCAAGUGUGGUUCAUAGGGGGGCACCAGUGUUAACAGUCUACCCAAUUUGGUCAUCCUAAAGCAGUUUACUGAAGUCAUGAUGCCUCAUUUUACAAAUAAAAAAGCAAAGUAUCAGAGAUUAAAUCAUUUGACCAGAAUGUGGGUAAAUGGAAACAUGUGAGGUAAAUGGAAAAGAAAGAGACCAUUUUAAAAGGUCUGUGACUAUAAGAACAGGAGAAUCCUUGCUCUCUUCUUCACUAGAAUGAUAAGUGCCAACUUAAAGCAAACCAACUCUCUCUCUUCCUCUAUGCUUGCCAUAUUUUUAGUUCUCGUCUUCCUGAGAAGGAAGGAAAUGGUUAAGUU